UACGAGGGGUGCAAGCGUUGCUCGGAAUUAUUGGGCGUAAAGGGCUCGUAGGCGGUUUGUCGCGUCGGGAGUGAAAACCCAGGGCUUAACUCUGGGCUUGCUUUCGAUACGGGCAGACUAGAGGUAUGCAGGGGAGAACGGAAUUCCUGGUGCAGCGGUGAAAUGCGCAGAUAUCAGGAGGAACACCGGUGGCGAAGGCGGUUCUCUGGGCAUUACCUGACGCUGAGGAGCGAAAGUGUGGGGAGCGAACAGG
RNAcentral lists this ribosomal RNA (253 nucleotides) under uncultured bacterium. RNAcentral's name for it is "partial 16S ribosomal RNA". It matches the Rfam family "Bacterial small subunit ribosomal RNA", at positions 524 to 776 of the family's 1533-position model. The record is from RNAcentral.